This 253-nucleotide ribosomal RNA is filed under the name uncultured bacterium. RNAcentral's name for it is "partial 16S ribosomal RNA". It matches the Rfam family "Bacterial small subunit ribosomal RNA", at positions 524 to 776 of the family's 1533-position model. The record is from RNAcentral.
GACGUAGGGGGCUAGCGUUGUCCGGAAUCAUUGGGCGUAAAGCGCGUGUAGGCGGCCCGGUAAGUCCGCUGUGAAAGUCGGGGGCUCAACCCUCGAAUGCCGGUGGAUACUGUCGGGCUAGAGUGCGGAAGAGGCGAGUGGAAUUCCUGGUGUAGCGGUGAAAUGCGCAGAUAUCAGGAGGAACACCAAUUGCGAAGGCAGCUCGCUGGGACGUGACUGACGCUGAGACGCGAAAGCGUGGGGAGCAAACAGG